GAUGAACGCUGGCGGCGUGCCUAAUACAUGCAAGUCGAGCGGGGUUAUGGAAGCUUGCUUCUAUAACUUAGCGGCGGACGGGUGAGUAACACGUAGGCAACCUGCCCACUACUCUGGGAUACCUACUGGAAACAGUAGUUAAUACCGGAUAAACUAGCAGAACCGCAUGGUUCAACUAGAAAAGAUUUAUCGGUAGUGGAUGGGCCUGCGUCUGAUUAGCUAGUUGGUGGGGUAAAGGCCUACCAAGGCGACGAUCAGUAGCCGACCUGAGAGGGUGAUCGGCCACAUUGGGACUGAGACACGGCCCAAACUCCUACGGGAGGCAGCAGUAGGGAAUAUUGCACAAUGGGGGAAACCCUGAUGCAGCAACGCCGCGUGUAGGAAGAAGGUUUUCGGAUCGUAAACUACUUUAGUCUGGGAAGAAUAAAAUGACGGUACCAGAAGAAUAAGCCCCGGCUAACUACGUGCCAGCAGCCGCGGUAAUACGUAGGGGGCAAGCGUUAUCCGGAAUUACUGGGUGUAAAGGGUGAGUAGGCGGUUAGAUAAGCCAUAAGUGAAAGCCUGGGGCUCAACUCCAGCGAGCUUAAGGAACUGUUUAACUAGAGUACGGGAGAGGUAAGUGGAAUUCCUAGUGUAGCGGUGGAAUGCAUAGAUAUUAGGAGGAACACCAGUGGCGAAGGCGACUUACUGGACCGAAACUGACGCUGAGUCACGAAAGCGUGG
RNAcentral lists this ribosomal RNA (723 nucleotides) under uncultured bacterium. Its description in RNAcentral is "bacterial SSU rRNA". It matches the Rfam family "Bacterial small subunit ribosomal RNA", at positions 28 to 764 of the family's 1533-position model. The record is from RNAcentral.